RNAcentral lists this ribosomal RNA (253 nucleotides) under uncultured bacterium. Its description in RNAcentral is "partial 16S ribosomal RNA". It matches the Rfam family "Bacterial small subunit ribosomal RNA", at positions 524 to 776 of the family's 1533-position model. The record is from RNAcentral.
UACGUAGGUGGCAAGCGUUGUCCGGAUUUACUGGGCGUAGAGAGCGCGCAGGCGGUCGUGCAAGUCGCGUGUGAAAGCCCCCGGCUCAACUGGGGAGGGUCACGCGAUACUGCUCGACUCGAAGGCAGGAGAGGGAAGUGGAAUUCCCGGUGUAGUGGUGAAAUGCGUAGAUAUCGGGAGGAACACCAGUGGCGAAGGCGGUUCUCUGGGCCUUACCUGACGCUGAGGAGCGAAAGCGUGGGGAGCGAACAGG